UGGGGAAUAUUGCACAAUGGAGGGAACUCUGAUGCAGCGACGCCGCGUGAACGAAGAAGGCUUUCGUGUCGUAAAGUUCUUUUAUAUGGGAAGAUAAUGACGGUACCAUAAGAAAAAGCCCCGGCUAACUACGUGCCAGCAGCCGCGGUAAUACGUAGGGGGCUAGCGUUGUCCGGAAUCACUGGGCGUAAAGGGUUCGCAGGCGGAGAUGCAAGUCAGGUGUAAAAGGCAGUAGCUUAACUACUGUAAGCAUUUGAAACUGCAUAUCUUGAGAAGAGUAGAGGUAAGUGGAAUUGUUAAUGUAGCGGUGAAAUGCGUAGAUAUUAAAAAGAAUACCGGUGGCGAAAGCGGCUUACUGGGCUCAUUCUGACGCUGAGGAACGAAAGCGUGGGUAGCAAACAGG
Molecule: ribosomal RNA, 403 nt
Filed under: bacterium
Lineage: Bacteria
Description: partial 16S ribosomal RNA
Rfam family: Bacterial small subunit ribosomal RNA
Source: RNAcentral